Molecule: ribosomal RNA, 499 nt
Filed under: uncultured Glomeromycotina
Lineage: Eukaryota; Fungi; Glomeromycota
Description: partial small subunit ribosomal RNA
Rfam family: Eukaryotic small subunit ribosomal RNA
Source: RNAcentral
CCAAUAGCGUAUAUUAAAGUUGCUGCAGUUAAAAAGCUCGUAGUUGAAUUUCGGGACCAUCAUGUCGGUCGUGCCUCGGUACGUACUGGCAUUGUUGGUUUCUCCCUUCUGACGAACCAUGAUGUCAUUUAUUUGGUGUUGUGGGGAAUCAGGACUGUUACUUUGAAAAAAUUAGGGUGUUUAGAGCAGGCUCACGCUUGAAUACAUUAGCAUGGAAUAAUGAAAUAGGACGUUUGAUUCUAUUUUGUUGGUUUCUAGGAUCGACGUAAUGAUUAAUAGGGAUAGUUGGGGGCAUUAGUAUUCAAUUGUCAGAGGUGAAAUUCUUGGAUUUAUUGAAGACUAACUACUGCGAAAGCAUUUGCCAAGGAUGUUUUCAUUAAUCAAGAACGAAAGUUAGGGGAUCGAAGACGAUCAGAUACCGUCGUAGUCUUAACCAUAAACUAUGCCGACUAGGGAUCAGAUGAUGUUAAUUUUUUAAUGACUCAUUCGGCGCCUUACG